CGGCUCGCGCUGCUGCAGUUGUUCGGCACGGCCUGACACAGCUUGCCGGCGCAGGGCAGGGCCGAGUAGGUGGAGGACUUCGAGGGGUCGAAGGGAUGCGCCGGAACCUGGUAAAGCGCACAUACUAUUUGAAUGCGUGAACAUUUUAUUCUAAAUAUUCUUUCAUUAUACAUCCAAAACAGAUAAGAUAUUCGGCUUAUUAAAUUAUUAUUACCAGGUUACUUAUUCUGUUUGCUUAAAAUUUGUUUACUCAAAUAAUAUAUAUAUAUUAUAUAUAGUUCUGAGAUCUGCGAUCGUAACAUGUGAUAAUAGGAGUUCUUGAGAACUCAAAAGAUCUAACAAGUGGUAUCAGAACACGAGUGUCGAAUUUCUAGCGAAUUAAUUCGGAUCGUUUUCUGAACACAACCUUGAGGCACUUGAUGCAGGGUUUGCAUUGGGUCCAGAUGAGGUCGCUGCCGGUGUCUAGUAUCGCCGUAAAGGGCAGCGGCGGCGUGCCGAUGGCUAUGUCCAUGAGGUACUCGCCCUCACCGGGGCUUACCAGAAUGCGGGAUUUCGUCAGCGUGGUAGGGUCGACGCCGCCGCUGGCGGCGGCUUGCACUGCCGAGAGCCACAUCGCACGAGCCUGGCUCCGGCGCACUGUGCGGCGGAGGAGCUCCGGCUUGGUGAAGUUGCGCCCGGCGUCGACGUGGGUUAGCUCAAUGCGCAAGUCCAGAAAAGCUGCAGAUGUGGUGACAAAAAUCAGGAAGCUUAUUAGGACUGAGGAAAGGAGGGAUUGCAUUUUGAAUCGUCUCAUGGUGUUGGUAAUAGGCAUUGCUUGGAAAGUCAACAGGCACUUGUUGUGGGAAGAACGUGUGGGUGUACCCGUGGUAUAUAUUGCAGGGGUGUCAACGAGCCGAACACAAGCGAGUUGGAUCAACUCAUAUUCGGUAACGAGACGAAGACGAACUAACUCGUUAAAGUACCAAAUCAAAAAAUUUAGCUCAUAUUUGGCUUUUUAAACACGAGCUGACUCACGAGCUGACCAAUAAACAAUACGUUAAAUAAAUUAGAUUGGAUAUAUAUAAAAAAUAAAUUAUAAAAUCUUAUAUAUCUGAUUAGACUUUGAUCGAAUUAAUAGUUAAAAUUUACAUUAUAAAUAAUUUUUUUUUAUUUUUAUAAUUAGCUCGACUUUAUAUUAUUUUUGCUAAAAUCAAUGAUAUAUAUAUAUAUAUAUAUAUAUAUAUAAUAAUUUAUAUAUAUAUAAUUAUUAUAUAUAUAUAAAUUAAAUAAAUUUUAUAAAUUUAAAACAUAUGUAUUCGAGCUGUUAUCGAGCCAAACAUCGACGACUAAUCCCAGCUCGUGUUCGGCUCGUCUAUUAGACAAGCUGAAAAAUCUAGCUCGUAUUCGGCUUAUUUACUAAAUGAGCAAUUCGAUUUCGAGUUUAUUUGGAGCCGAACACGAGUUAUCUCGAGAACAACGAGCUGGCAAUAAUAAGGUCUUAACUAUGGGGAAGUCUCUUUGUAAUAUCCACAUCAUAUCAUUUAUAACCUGUAAAUAUAUCUCUCUAGUAAAAAUGUAAGCCUUAUUUGAAUUGAGAGCCUCAUUAAAAUUAUGUUGCAUGGAGGUGUUAGGCGUGCCUUAAAAUUUAGUUAUUAACUUCGAUUUUAUGCCUACAAUUUGUCCAUAAUUUUGUGGUGUGAUAAGUUUUGAAAAACAAAAUUAUGAAGAAAAAAAAUGAUGACUAUGAUGGAGAGCGAAGGGCUCGGGGCGAUAGGCGUGAAUGAGUAACCCACUACUAACAUCAGAUGGGGGUUAUGGAGGGACUUCACAGUACAGAUCGAAUUCGAUAAUGAAAAAUUCGUUAAGAAAUUUUUUCCUUUCUUUUUUAACCUAAAUGCGAUACUAUGUAUUGUACUUAUAAAUUUUGUACUUCAAUUUUCAUAGUAAAGUUUUCUCUUUCUUUGCCGAUAAUUUUUUUUCCUGCAAAAUAGUUUUCAUGUAAAUCUUUAUAUUCCGUUUUAUUUAUUAUUUUGUGAUUUCUCACUACAACAGAAUUAGGUUAUAGGGACAUAUGUUUGGAACUUUUUUUGUCUAAGUGUCCUAUUUAUGUCAAAAUUUUAAAAAAUAUCUACUAAUGCUUAAAUAUAAAGCCGAAUCCAAUAAAAAAUAAAAUGUUACUAUACUCAACCCAUCCAACCCAGCCAGUUUGGCCCGAUUCCAAACAGAAAGGAAAAAAAAAAGAAAAAUCGAUUACCAUCUCCCCUUCUCCCCUCACUCAAUUUACUGAAAUCCUAGACGAAGGGCCCUUCCCUCUCGUCCUCCUCUGCCACCGCAGCCAACGAGGUAGAGUUCCGGCGGUUGCUAGAUGUUUAAAUAAGUGUUGCUAAAUUAGCAGUACUUUUUUAGGUUAUAGCGAUACUCUUUAACUAUCCCUAUAUACCUAGCGAUCCCAUAUAUAGCAAUACUUUUUAAAAGUGUCGGUAAUUUAGCCAGCAGUACUUUUUUUGACCUGUACCGAUAUUUAAAAGUGUCGCUAUAGAUCAUUUUUUUUAUAAUGCCUUUAUUUCACAUAAGUCAUUUUUCGUUUCUAUUUAUGCACUCGCCGUAACAAUCGGAGAAAAAAUUGCCACCUAUCCAUUGUUUUCGUCAGGGGCAAAAUAUUUGACUGUUGUUCUAUAACACAUUACACUUUGAGUAAUUAAUUAUUUUAUAUGACAUCAACACAGAAUAUUUUAAAUUUAAUUUUAUGAUGAGUAAUAAACAUACAAUAUUAAAAUAUUAUUGUUUAACAAUUUAAAAUUUUAAAGUAUAUAUAUAUGUAGUUAGCCUUUUCACAGUUUAUGGACCGAAUUACAUACUAUAUACAAUAUUCAUUAAUUUCAAGAUGUUAACAAGACUCAAUUCAACAAUAAAUAAUACUUCUUUUUCUUUUCUUUUUAUUUUUUCCUCAUUUCAGUAAAAGUUAAUUAAUCCAGUAAAAUUUAAUUUUAGUUGUUUAUUAAUAUUGUAUGCGGGUGCGAGCGCAUACGUUCCGGGGAUGUUAUACAGUGACCCGUCCGCAUAAUUUUGGUCCGUUACCACCGUACGUUGAGGAUUUUGACAUGAUGGAAUGGACGGUUCUCAUUGGUCCUCUAGAUUGUGGUGCCCGUUAAAUAAUGCAAAACAACAGUUCGUUAAAAAGAUUAAACUAUUUAUAAAACUGUAUUUAUAUAUUAUUUUAUAUUCAACACUUUUUCUCAUAUGGACUUAAUUAAAAAAUGCUAAAGAUUUAAUAGACUAACUCAGUAUUUUUUACUCUGAUAUUAUGCUAAAUUAAAUAAAAUAAAAUAAUUAUUGUACUCUAAAAAUGUAUACUUAUAAUGAAUGGUGUUUAAGUAUUUUUAUAUUUAAUACUAUAAUAUCAGGCUCUUAACAUUAUUAAUCUCCUCUCGUUUAAAUCAAAUUCACAUCAUAAGCUGGUCAACAAGUCUCGAGUAUAAAUAUGAAGAUGAGUGUUAAAUAUAAAAAUAUUUAAAAUAUUAGUCUUUUGGUAUUCAAAUUUUAUUAUUCUAGAAUACGAAUCACCAGGUUUAGUUAUCGUUUACUCUUUUAGAAAAGAUUUAUUUGAUUUUGUUUUUUUUAUUUUUAUUUUCUUUGAAUCCGAAUUGAACUAGAAUUUUUGCGGUCAUCAUGAUCGGUUGAGGAUUACAACAUAUUAGACUUUUAUUUUCUUUACUAUUUUUGGAAGGUUUUAUAGAAUGAUUCUACAUAAGGGACUAAGAUUUAUGUAAUUGCAGGUUUUUUGAGUUCAAUAAUAUUCGUGUACUCUCGAAAUAUAUUUUUUUUAUCCAUCUCUCUCCUUGUGCUUCUUCAUCUUUUACACUUUCCAUCAAAACAUGACUCAAUAAAAUCACUCAAGCAUGAUAGAAAAUAUUGAAAAAAAAAAAAAUCCAAACGCAACCUGAUGCGAGCUCAUUUAUGAUUUUUUAAAUUACAUACACUUUUGUAAAUUUGAGGUAAUUGUUGUCAAAACAUAUAUUUUCAAGUUCGAUUCUUUUUAUAAAACAACUAUUGUACUCUAAAAGUUUAAACGACUGGAUCUUAGAACCUUCUGUUCUGAUACCAUAUAAAACGACCGUUGUAUUCUAAAAAUUUAAACUUCGAAAACAAUAUUUAUACAAUUUUAUAUAGUCCUACUAUAUUAAUCUUUAAUAAUAUGACGACACUUUUAAAUGUCGGUACAGAUAAAAAAAAGUGUUGUUAGCUAAAUUACAGACACUUUUAAAAAAUUUUGCUAUAUGUGGGGUCGCUAGGUAUAUAGUGACAGUUUAAGAGUGUCGGUAUAACCUAAAAAAAGUGCUGCUAAUUUACCAAUACUUAUUUAAGCAUUUAACAAGCGCCGAAAUUCUACUUCGUUGACUGCGGUGGCAGAGGAGGAGGAGAGCGAAUGGCUUUUCGUUUAAGAUUUCAGUGGAUUGAGUGAGGGGAGAAGGAGAGAUGUUGAUCGAUUUUUCUUUUUUUUCUUUUUUUGUUUGUAAUCGGGCCGAAUAGGCUGGGUGGGGUGGGUUAAGCAGAUUAGCCUUUUAUUCUUGGUUAAAUUGGGCUUUAUACUUAGGCCUUAAUAGAUUUUUUUUUUAAGUUUUGACAUAAAUGGAAUACUUACAUAAAAGUGUCUCAAACAUGUAUGUGUCCCUAUAAUCUAAUUCUGUUGUAGUGAUGAUACCGGAAUAAAUUCUAAAUUUUUUUUUUGAGAGAUAGGUAGCACACUAUCAUCUUCGUUUAUUUCAUUUAGAAAUAAACUUAGCUAGAAAUGUGAAUCAACUAGGAUUCGAACUUAGGUCUCGGAUACCAACCACCAAGUCCUUUGCCACUUGCUCUAAGGACGGCCGAUAAUUCUAAAUUUUUUCGUUCCAUAAGAUUGUAGGUUUUGAUCUCCACUACGUCAAAUGAAUAUGACUUCACCAUAACUUGUAAUAUUAUUGGCACAUUACACAAAAUGAAUACAUAACAUCCAAUCUAAGUAUAUAUUGUCAUCUUGCAUACAAUUAAAUUUGUGAACAAAAUUUUCUUCUAAGUUUAUAUAUAUAUAUAUAUAUAUAUAUAUAUAGAAUUAGGCUGGAAUACUAUUAAUAGUAAAACGCUAUUUUUGCUAUCAAGUUUUUAACCCUUGGAUGAAAAAUUGUAGGGUCGGGAUGAUAUUAGUCGGUUAGAGUUGAGUGGUCCCCCUAGGGUUGAGUGGUCCCCACUGGGUUAUAGUAUUUAAUCCAAUGGUUUAAAAUAAUAAAAAGAGUUGAUCCAAAGGCUAAAAAAGUGGUAGCAACAAUGGGAUUUUGCUACUAAUAGUAGCCCAGUCCAACUCUAUAUAUAUAUAUAUAUAUUUCAAUUUUAAGUUUUAACGUAUAUCAUUUUUGUUUAAGACCUCUAUAAAUUAACAUUGAAGCACUGCUCUAUUAUGAUUUGCAUGUAGCAGGAUAAAAUUUUAAUGGGGAGCUCUCCCACGACCCUUUGUUGGAGAGCUCCUGAUCUAUUGCCACAUAUCAAUUUUACCUUCAUAUAACGGUUCGUUUACUGUUUUUUAAUACUAAAUUUUUUUUAAAAAAUAAGCUUUUAGGCAGCGUUUGGUUAAGGAAUGGGAAUAGAAAUAGGCCCUUAUCCCUCCCUUUAUACCCAAAUGCUAAUUUUUUAUCCGAGAAUAAUAGUUCUCGAUUAUUCCCACCAACACCUCUAUUUUCUAUAUAAAACUAUCUAAAAUUGUUCAUAUCCUCGGGAACAACCCAAUUUUAUCCAAAUACUAUUUUUUCUAUCCCCAUGCUUGUACCUAUCAUUGUAAUAGCUAGUUAUUGCUUAUACCCGAAUCAAACGGUACCUUAAAGGUUAGGUUUAUAAAUAUUUGAAUAGAGGCAAAACUGUUACGAGACAGCACAUCGAAGGUUUCUCAAGGAGGCUUUAUCGGAAAGCUUUCCACUAUAUAUAUAUAUAUAUAUAUAUAUAUAUAGAGUUGAGCUAGAAUACUCUCAAAAGUACCAAGAGAUUGGUGCUUUUGAGUUUUUAACCCUUGAAUGGAGAGAUGUGAGGUUAAGAUGAUGGUGGUAGGUGGAAUAGUGUUUGAUCCAAGGGUUUUUAGUAUUCUAGGAGUAGAUCCAAUGGCUAAAAACUUAAUAGCAUCAAGGAGAUGAUACUACUAAAAGUAUUCUAGCUCAAUUCUAUAUAUAUAUAUAUAUAUNAGUUCGCAUAAAUAUUAAUUGUGUGGGGUCUAAUCAAAUUCCAAACAAAAUUAAGAUAAGAGUGCCCCAUCACUACCAGUAGUCCCCUUCAAUUCUAUUGCAUCAUUCUUUGUUGAGCACUAGCCCUUCUGGGUACUUUAAUUAUUGUUAUUCGUUGAGUAGUGGUGGAUACAUUAUUUUUGGUUGGUGUUGGGUUAACAUCUUGGAGUAUAAUCUUUGUUAAUGUGCUUCUUCUAAAAACGGGGUUAUUAUAUUAUGUGUUAAAAGUUUAUUUAUUUGAGAGUUUGGAGUUAGAAAAUUUUUGAAAGUUUCAAAUAUUUAGGGUUAUUAUGUUGUUUUUAAUAAUGAGGCAUCUGAGUUGAUGAUAAUUAAUUGAGAGUUAUUUUAGACAUAAUCAAUUAACGACUCGUGAACUUUCAGAGGACUAAAUUUUGUGAUGUUUUAGUAUUAUUUAUUUAUUUUUCAAGUGGUAUCAACAUUAAAAAGUGAUUAGGGUAAAUAUGAGGUGUAUUUGAGACCGCUUAAUCACUUAGUAAACAAUGUGAAAAAAAUCAUAAAAUAUGGUUUCUAACAAGUUCCAAUACCAUAAAUCUUGUUUAACUGUGUCAAUUGUUGAUUCGUAUACUCUAUGAACAAAAAUAAUCAAUUGGAGAUAUUAAAAGCUUGAUGCUUUUAAAAGCAUUCCAACUCAAUUUUGAGCUAUUGAGCUACACUACUUUUAAAAGCAUCAAGAUUUUGAUGCUUUUACGUCGUUUUCGGUGACAAGACAUUCCAAUUAACGAUCGACAAUUGUGACGCCCUAAGUUCUCAGGGGAUCAUCCAUCCUAGGACUAUUCUCGUUCUAACACGCUUAACUCUCUUAAUCUUUUGGGUUUUACCACUACCCAAAAUGCUUAAGCCUGAUUAAAAUCGUUUAGCCCUAUUAUAUCUUAUAUAUAGGACUAUCUGGUGUCUCACAAUCUUUUCCCCUUUAAGCCCUGACGUCUUCGUCAGACUUAGACUCACAAGUAUCAGGCGAUAUGAGGCUAGCCUCUCUGAGUCAGUCGAGACUAAUCUCACACUUUCUGCUGAUAAUUGGCUCUGAUACCAACUAUGAUGCCCCAAGUUCCUAGGAGGUCACCCAUUCUAAAACUACUCCCUUCCUAACACGCUUAACUUUCUUAACCUCUUGGGACUUGCCACCACCUAAAAUGUUUAAACCGGAUUAAGAGUUUAACCUUAUUAUAUCUUAUAUAUAGCACUAUUUGGGGUUUCACAAUAAUAUUACAUAAUCUAUGGCUCGCAAUUUUUUUAAUAUUAUUUAUCUAUUAUUCAGAUAGUCUCAAAAUAAAUAAAUUUUGAUGAAAAAAUAAAAUAAUUUAAGACUAUUUGAUCAUUGCAUAAAUAAUAUAUUAAAAAACUAUAAAAUUUAAUUUCUACAAAGCUCAAAGACCCUAGAUCGUGUGUAAUGACGUAGAUUGUUAAUUUGAAUGCUGCAUCAUCGAAAAUGGUGCGAUCUUUUUUCAUAUCCUAUAUAUCCAGAUGCCUUAUCAUUGCACUACUCGCGAGUUAGCGAUAAGAAAUGUAGCUUCCAUUCAUCAUUAAUUAUCCACUUGAGUGGAAGGAUUUAGGGCAAAAAGGAAUUAAUUGCAUCUUUUGGUGGGGAUGUAGCCCUAAUUAUGUUGAGGCCUAGGAUGCGAGGACAAUUUUGUUAAUCCCAAUUUAUGAAUGUGCUCGCUGGGUCCUUCAUUUCAUCAUUUUAUGCUUUUAGCACCUGCUUGGAUUAAUUUUUGUAGCUUUUAAUUCGAAAUUUGUUUUUGAUGGACCUAAUUCCCAUAGAUCAAAAGUUGCUCUGAUGGUUUAUAUCUUUGGUUAUAUUAUUCCUCUAAUUUAUAUUCUCAUGGUUAAUUAUAUUCUCAUUAUUCUUUUUUAUAUGCAUGCCAUAUCUAAUGUCACCUUUUGUUCUUAUCCCCUAAAGGUUGUAGAUUAUAUGCAGUUAUGCUCUUUUCUUUCACAUGUAAUUUAUAACUAAUUAUUUACGCUUACCUAUAAAAUCAACUACUUAUUUAUAUACUUCUACAUGUAUAUAUAUCAAAAUUUAUGUACUUGAAAUUUCUGUAUUUUUACAUAUCUAUGUAAGUACUUUUUAGUAGGUGCUCUCGUAUAUUGCUUUACAAAAUUUUAUGGGCACAUCUUAAGAAAGGUGGGUCCAUUUGUNAUGUAUAAUUGGCUUAAGUUGGCUCGAAUAGCAUGUUACUUAAAAGAUUAUUUAAUAAGAAAUCGAUUAAGAACAUACAAAAUAGACCCACCUUUAUGUACUUGAAAUUUCUGUAUUUUUACAUAUCUAUGUAAGUACUUUUUAGUAGGUGCUUUUGUCAAUUGCUUUACAAAAUUUUAUGGGCACAUCUUAAGAAAGGUGGGUCCAUUUGUAAUGUUCUUAAUCUAUUUCUUGUUAGAUUAAUCUCUUAAGUAACAUGCUAUUCGAGCCAACUUAAGCCAAUUAUGUUUUGUGACUAGUCCAUUAAUUGAUUGAUCUCAUCCUUUCAUUUUUACCUAGUUGCAAAUUAAUUCAAUUUAUACAAGCAAUUGACAAACAAAUAGCACCACCAAUGUGUGCUCUAACCAUUUUUCUCAUGUGUCCAACAAUUUCUAUCUAGCUAGUAGAGAAAUCAUAUAACUUCAUCUAUUUGUUUUGGCAAUUAUACGCCUCUCAAUCCCCCUAAAACUUAUCAACACUACAAAAAAAAAAAUCAAACCUUAAGAUGCAUGCCAUCCAUCGUCUUCUUCUUUCUAUUUCCCCUUCUUUCACUCAGAAUGGACCUUUUGCGCGCAGACGCCGACCGCAACUUCAAUAAGCUCGAUCUCCUUCACCGCGCCUUUGUCUAGAGAAAGGCGCUAGUUGCCAGCUAUUUUCGUCGGUGCCCAAACUUAUCUGAACUCAGUGCAACCCCCGCAUCAAGUGCUCCUCCAGUUUCUCUAUAUCCUUCUCUGCUCCGUUGAGUCGUGUCGAGAACUUCUCGGUGCAUGUGGUGAAAAUCUAUGCAUUGUCAUUUAUAACUACGCUAGUGCGAAAACCCGAGGCCCUCUCUCGCUCAGGAGACCUUCACGUUCGGGUCGAUUAACAAAGUUAGUGUUUCUAACAUAAUCUUCGGCAUUAUCGGCAUUGACUGCGGAAGUUCAUCUCUUGUAUCUUAGCUAGCAAUCCACAGAUUCUCCUACUGCCUCGCUCCCAACAACGAGUCCACGAAAAGCGCAUUCGUAUUCGGCUCACUUGUCGAAAUAACCCAAAGUGUUGCUAGUUUGUAUUUCAGUACGUAAUAUUUUGAGCAUUCUGGUCUCAGCAUUUGUUAGCAAUCUCUAGAUUCUGGUUUCAGCAUUUGUUAGCAUUCUGGUUUUAGUACAUAACAUUCUGGGCAUUUUGGUUUCAGCAUUUGUUUUUAUAAUUCUUAACAGAGAUACUUUGCCGCUUAUGAGAUGAGACGGAGAGAAAUGACAAUGCAGAGCAAAGUUCUACGGAUACAUCAGGCGCGGACAAUAAUUUCUUCAAUAGCUUUUCCAACCAGUCGAGUACUGAAAUUAAAAUUUGAAAAGGCUAAAUAAUCCAAUAAAAGAAAGUCAGGUGUCUUUUUGCAAAGUAAGUUUGGGCUGGGCUUGGUAUCCACAAUACAAAUUUAAGCUACAGCCCAGCUUUGAAAUUUGGGCCCAAAACUAUUUUGAGCCCAUUCGGGCUUUUCCCAAAUCCAGCCCAAGUCCAUCAUAAAGUCUAGAGAAACUCCGUUUGAGUUUGUAUGUGCGUGUAUGUAUUUUUGUGUGUGCUUCUGGAAGGGUUGACCGCACGCAAAUGGGUCCGUGUUGAAGGAGCUACCACUCCGAUCUGCUCGAAAUGUGAUAGUCAUUGAAAACCAAAAAUAUAUAAAAAAUAUAUAUAUAUAAUCUGUUCUGAAUCUGUUCUGAUCUGUUAAGUAAAUAGAGCGGAACGCGAGAGACUCUUUUUUCAUAUCCGUUCCAAUCUGUCAAUAACUUGCUCGCGCCCUAAUCCGCUUCUGGAUACACCUUGUUUGACACGUGUAUAUUAUUCUAUGCUAUGCUGAUAUAUUAUUUAAUGGCCAAUUUGCAUAAAAAUUUCAUAAAUUUUGAGCUUUUGCAAAACUGGACCGUCUUUUUCGAUUUUACAAAUUCGAUCCGAAUUUUCAGCAAACUAACCAAAAUACCCUUACUGUCUUUUCUCUCUCCUCUUUCUCUCUCCUUUUUUUUUUCCUCUCAUUUAUUUUUUUUUCUCUCGCCGAAGAAGGCAGCGGAGGCAGAGACGGAGGCGGAAAUCGCCCGCCUCGCCUCCCACCCUCAUGCUUUCGCCCUCGCCCUCGCUCUCGCCCGCACACCCCCCGUCUUUCUUGCCUCCGACCCCACCGAGGCCGCGCCGUGACUCUUUUUUUUUUUUUCUCUCUCCAACUCUCCUCCACCGUCUUCAACGACGAGGCCUCUCUCACCCUCUCUCGCCCUUCUCCGCCCUUCUCGUCCUCUCCCUCUCCCUCAUCCGCCGCCUCCGAUAACGACGCAUCUUCGCCGACACCGAUGCCGCAGAGGUCUCUGCAGUGCCGCAGCCUUGGAGUGGAGGUUCUUAGCGGCGUCGUCGCCGGCGCCAUGGCCGUUGGCUUAGAAAGGUGACUAAAAAAAUUUGUAGAAAAAGAAAGAAGAAAAAAAUAAAGACAAAAAAUUAUAGAAAAAGAAAGAUGAAGAUGAAAUUGCACCAUUAAAAUAAAAUUACACUAUUUUAAAAGAACGUUGCACUAUUAUCGACAUAAGUUACACUACUUAAAAUGUAAACUGUAUCCUUUAAGAUAAAAGUUAUAUUCUUUAAACGAAAGUUGCAAUCUUUGAGAGAUAUUUACACUGUUUCUCCUCUUCUUGCACUCUUUGAGAUAUAAACUGCACCCCUUUAAGGGAUAUUUAUACUGUUUCUCCUCUUGUUGCAUUAUUUCUCUUGUUGCUCUAUUUCUCCUCUUAUUAUACGAUUUCUCCUCUUAAAGGGUGUGGUUUAAAAGGAGAAACAGUUUUCUCUGUUAGAACUAGGGAUUUUCUUUUCUACUCGAAUCAAAAUUAUUGUUUAAAUAAAUUUCUAAAUACCAUAAAUUACUAUCUUUGCCCAAAAUUUUAUUCCCAGUUCUUUGCAACUAAUAAUGAAAUCUUAUUGACUUUAGGAUGUAGCUUAACUUUUUCGUCUUGUAAUAAGCUGAAUUUUGGUUGCCUCUUUUCUAUCUUUUUUCUUGCACUUACUAGGUUUAGGUUGAUGAGGAUCCAGCUGAAGUUAAGGAGGGGAGUGAUGAUUAUAAAGUUGAGGUAACUGUUCUGUCAUUUGACAUACUUUUUUUUGACUUAUUCUGGUUUUUAUUAUGGUAAAUGGGAAAUUAGCAAUUCCUUGUAACAAAUUAUUUUUUUGUGCUUAUACAUAAUCUUGAUGCAGAACAUAAAGAAGACUAAAAAGGUUAUAGAGAGGUACUGGGACUGAAACUCAUAAAUGAGACGCAACCUAUUUGGGUAAUGAUUAAUCAACUAAUCCAAUCAUAAAAUACAAUCAAAGUCCUCUCUAAAGAUUUUGAAGGGUCCCCGAGAGAUGUGAAAUCUCUGUCAUAUCUGAAAUUAGAACAUAUCACAAUAAUUCCAAACCAUAAUUCUGUCUGCCGUGAACGAACCGGCCUCGCCGUAGGUUGUUUUUAGGGCGAGUGGUCAUUCAUGGUAGAUAUUAGAUUUGUUUAAGUUUUCUUUUGGAAUCAGGAUUAUAGGUUCAUGGCUUCCAACAAACUCAAGAGUCUGCUGUUAAUUACCCCACACUUUCGGUAUUAAGGAACUCUCGAUUAAGAGACCAAAUAUAAAUGCUGAUAAUAAAUGAGACAAAACAGGCAAAUGAAAUUUUAUUGAUAUGAUUUGCCGUGUACAUGACUUAAGCUGGGGCAUACCCCCACUAUAUAUGAAUUUCAUAAAAUGACAUGGCGUUCGAUUGAAGUUUUGAUGCUCAGUUUAAUGACAUGGAGGUCGAGUUCACCUUGGUUAUAUAUUCCAAGGUGGAGAUAUGACCAAACCCCAAGUAUAUGUAUUGAGGUAGAUCAGAUUUGAUAUUACCCGAAAGUAGAAGGUGGCUAAUUCCUGGGUGUAUGGAUCAGGAUUAACCGAGUUUAAUAUGUUUUCACUCUAGUUAUAUAUUCUAGAGUGAAGAUCUGACUAAUCCCUAAGUAUAUGUAUUAGGGGUAGUCGGAUUUGAUUUGUAUGAGCUCCAAGUAUAUAUAUUAGAACUCAAUUGGGUAUGGAUUUUACUCUAGGUAGAUGUGCUAGAGCAAAAAGGCUGAUUAGACCCUAAGUAUAUGGGUUAGAACUAGUCGGGUAUGGUUUAACUUUCACUCUAGGUAUAUGUGCUAGAGCAAAAGGCUGACUAAGUCCUAAGUAUAUAUGUUAGGGUUAGCCGACCAUGGUUUGACUUCUACUCUAUGUAUAUAUGCUAGAGCAAAAGGCUGACUAGACCCUAAGUAUAUGUGUUAGGAUUAGUCGGAUGAACUCUAAGUAUAUAUGUUAGAGUUCGAAUAAAUUUGAUAUAAUUUGACUGAAUUCUAAGUAUAUGGCUUAUAACUCUGUCGAUUUGGAGAUGUUUUGCCUUAGUUAUAUGUGCUAAGGCGAUCGACUUAGCCCUAAAUAUAUGUAUUAGGGGUAGUCGAUAUUUAAUUUUCAUUCUAGGUAUAUGUGCUAGAGUAGAAAAGGUUCAUGAUGACUUGGGUUUAGUUUAACGACGUUUCGGUCGUUUGAAUUUGGGUUUAGUUUAACGACGUUUCGGUCGUUUGAAUUUGAGUUUAGUUUAACGAUGUUUCGGUCGUUUGAAUUUGGGUUUAGUUUAACGAUAUUUCGGUCGUUUGAAUUUGAGUUUAGUUUAACGACUUUGCGGUCGUUUGAAUUCGGGUUUAGUUUAGCGACGUUUCGGUCGUUUGAAUUUGGGUUUAGUUUAACGACAUUUCAGUCGUCUGAAUUUGGGUUUAGUUUAGCGACGUUCCGAUCGUCUGAAAUUUAGAUGAAAUUAAUUCAUGGUAGGGGCCAUUUAGAGAGCCCAUUGAAUAAAAUUAAUGUAUGAUAAUGAGCUAUUUGGAAGGCCUAUUAGUUCAUGAAAUUAAUUUAUGACAAGGAGGGCCCAUGAAAUUAAUUCAUAUAAUUAAUUCAUGAGAAAGAGGUCCAAUUGGAAAGUUCAAGAAAUUAAUUCAUAGGAUUAAUUCAUACAAAGGGGUUCGUUUGGAAACCCAUUAAUUCAUGGAAUUAAUUCAUAAUAAGGGGCCCAUUUAGAAAGCCUAAGAACUUGGUUUGGGUUGGAGGUAUUUGGAUGACAUAGGUUUAGUAAAUUUCGUUGGGUUUCAUUUGUGGACUUUGAAUUUUGGAUCUCAUUUGUAGACUUUAGGUUUUGGAAUUUUAUUUGUGAAUUUUAGAAUUUUUGGGAUUUUAUUUGUGGACUUUGAAAUUUUUGGGAUUUUAUUUGUGGACUUUUGGAUUUUUGGGAUUUCAUUUCUGGACUUUGGAAUUUUUGGGAUUUUAUUUGUGAGCUUUAGGAUUUUUGGGAUUUUAUUUGUGGACUUUUGGAUUUUGGGAUUUUGUUUGUGGACUUUGGGUUUUGGGAUUUUGCUUGUGAAUUUUGAGUUUUGGAUUAAGAAAUGAAUUUUUAUUUGUUUUGGGCCCACAUCUACAUGUGGGUUGAGAUAUGCUGCAGGCUUUACAUGUUCUGGGCCCGAAUCUGUAUGUGGGCUGGAUUUUUAUUGAUUUUGAAUUUAAAUCUGCACAUGGGCUGGAUUUCGGGCUUUACAUGUUUUGGGCCUUGGACCCGAAUCUACAUGUGAACUGAAAUCAGUCUUGGACUUUACCUGGUCUGGGCCCAAAUCUGCAUGUGGGCUGAGACGAGUUUCGGGCUUUAAUGCUUUGGACCUUAGACCCGAAUAUGUACGUGGGCUGGAUUUCGGGCUCUACAGGUUGUGGGCCCGAAUUUGCAUGUGGGUUUGAUUCUUUUUUUUUUUUUUUUUUACUGGCUUAUAGAGUUUCUCAUUUGGCCAAUGAUUAAGUGAUGAAUUGGACCAUUUUUAAAAUUAAAUAGCCCAAUCUAUUCUCCUCAACAACUCUUUUGUUUUUGUAUUUUAUUUUUUUUUAUUUCUUUUCUUCUUUCUUUCUUUUUUUUUUGCUGAUUGUGAAGAGAAGGAAAUCCAACUCUUUUUUUCUUUCAUUUUUUUUCUUCUUUUCUUUCUUUUUCCCCUUUUUUUUUUUUUUGCUGUACGUGAGAAGAGGAAAUCCAACUUUUUUUUUCUUUUCUUUUCUUUUGUUUUCUCUCUUUCUUUUUUCUUUUUUCUUUUUUUUUUUUGAUGACCAGGAGAGAGAGAGCCUCUCUCUUUUUUGUAUAUUUAUUUUCUUUCUCCUUUCUUUUCUUCUUUUCUUUUUUUUCUUUUUUUUCUUUUUUUUUUUUUUUUUCGUUUGACUGCUCAGAGGGGAAGUUGGAAACUCAACUUUUUCUUUUCUUUUUUUUUUUCGUCUUUGUUGCAUUUUUUUUCUGUCUUUUUUUUUUUUUUUUUUUUUUUUUUUUUUUUAACUAGAAGAGAGGAGUGUAGACUUGGUUGUAGUUGCAACCCAAACUCUCUCUCUCUCUCUCUCUCUCUGUACAGAACCGAGAAAGAGAGAGAGAGAGGGAGGUUGCUCUUCCUCUUUUUUUUCUUUUUCUGUUUAUUUAUUUAUUUAUUUUUUUUGUCCAAAUAAACGAAGUUGAUUAUGGUCGAGCCAUACAAUCGGAUCGAACAAAGAUGAACGAAUAGAAACGGAACCUGUUCGUUUUUUUUUAUUAUUAUCAUUUAUUUUAUCACGUUUUGUUCAAGUGCGCGGGGUUUAAUCGUGUCGAACCUAUCACGAAGAUGGCUGCUCGAUUAAUCGUUUUGACCAUGUCGAGCUGAUCGCGAAGAUGGCCGCACUAUUUUCGUAGCAAAAUAUUCGAUGUUCGAUCAACAAUUUCGAUCAUGUCGAGCCUAUCGCGAAGAUGGCCACACGAUUUUCGUAGCAAAAUAUCCGAUGUUCGAUCAAUAAUUUCGACCAUGUCGAGCCUAUCGCGAAGAUGGCCGCACGGUUUAGAUAAUAAAAUAUCCGGUACUUGUUCGACCAUAUCGAGCCUAUCACGAAGAUGGCCGCACGGUUUAGAGAUAGCGAUGCAUACGUAAGGCGGAAGCGACGAUUUGAUAUCAAAUUUGAUUGGUUCGAAACCUAUCACGAAGAUGGUCGGACUGAUCAAACCAACAAAAAUCGCACUUAUGCCUUUCAUAUGCAUGCACAUCUCUUAUUAUCGUAAAAAUCAUCGUGAUUAUCGUUGUCGCCGAAGUCCCUUUUUUUUAUGGUACUUGCACACGAGAGAGAGAGAAAGAGAGAGAGAGAGAGGAGAGGGUAAAAACCUUUUNGAGAGGAAGGAGAGGAUAAAAACUUCUUUUUUGUUUCUCACCUUUUUUCUUUCUUCUUCUUCGUUCUUUUUUUUUUCUGCUUUGGUUCUAUUUCGGAUCUCUCUCCUCUUCUUUUUUUUUUUUUUUUUUUUGUAAGAAGCUUUAUAAUAAGCUUCUAAUGACCCUGUUUAUUUUUGAAAGUCAUUCAAAAAAAAUAUUCAAAAAGGAACAGUACCUUCAUAUAUGGAUUUUUUUUUUUUUACCUCUUGUUUUUAUGAAUUCUUUCUUUCCUUUCUUUUUUUUCUCAAAAGGGGAAAUGGGAUAUUUUUUUUUAUAACUUUUACAUCUUUCCUUUUUUUUUUAUUUCUUCCCCUUUUAUUAUUAUUAUUUUUUUCAUUUUUUUUUUUUACUCAAACAAAUUCAAUCAAAGCUAACCAACCAAAUUAGCCCUAAGUACUUUUUAAUUAAACGUGGACGAUCCAUGUUAAAGGUAACUGAAAGUAUGCAGACAUAAUUACAGAUUCAAUUCAAUAUUGCAUCACCUAUUCAUUUGUUAUGUCUUUAACUACCAUUGUAUUCAUAUAUUGGUGUGAACUUGCUGCUUCAGUUUUUCCUUUCUGGUUAAUUUGUUGACUCUUUAAAUAGUUAUCUAGCCAUAUACUGGUGCGCUGAGUUGAUAAAUUGACAAAUGUGUUAGAUAUAUUGUUAUUGGAUAUACUGUUAUGUAUAAUCUAAAUAAUAUGUUCAUAUUGAAUAUUUUGUUAUAAUAUAAUCCAAAUAAUAUGUUCACAUACAAGCCCAAUAGGUGAAAACGUAUUAAAGCCCAUAUUAACUGGAGCCCAAACCCUACGCUGGAGGUAAUACUGUUGAGCGUUCCAAACUUGACGUCUCUUGGUGUAAUACUUUAAGCACCCGAAAAUCCAUCUAUUCUCUAAAACGAUAACCUCCAACAAAAUGUACAUUGUAGAUCAAGAUUCAGUUCCUUUGUGCGCUGUUGAGGGUUGUGCGGCACUUGAAAAGCUGUUAGAGCCCCAGGAUUGUGUUGCCCAUAUCCUUCCUGUAAUUGUCUACUUCUCAUAGAUAUGCUGGGUGGCCUCCAUGAGUAGUACAAUCAAUUUUGAUUUUUGAGAGACACGUCUCUGCCCAUACAUGACGAUGCAAUUGUAAUUUAUCUACUAAUUUUUCUACUAAUAUAAAUAUUCUAUGCAUAAUUUGAAUUGCAGCUGAGAGUGAGAUUGCCCUGCUUACAGAAGAAGCUCAGAGGGCAACCUCUGCUUUACGUAUUGAUCUUGAGAAAGGUAGUCAUUAUUUGUCGUUACAGAUGUCUUUUUUUAUUAAAUAACAAAAAAAAUUGAAGGUAAAGAUGCUAGAUAAUUGUUUGGUCUUUAUUAAACUCUGUUGAAAUUUUAAUUUAGAAUCAUUAAUUGGUACAAUAUUGAUAUUUCAGACUGAUACAUAUGUUUUACUCUUUAUCGAGAUGUAUCUACUAAGGUAAUUGUGAGACUUGAAACUCUUAGGAGUUGGAGGCAAGACCUAUUUGUUGUCGAAUAGAUUAAUAAUGUGAAAGAUUACGAGUAUUGAAGAAGCAGGUUAAUUUUUUUAAUUGAUAUACGUCUUAAUUAUAAGAUACUGUUGGUUGUAAACGACUUCUAAUCCUUUUGUUCGUAAAUACUAAUUUAUUAGAAUUAUAAUUCUGAAUACUUUUGAAUGGAACGACGGAUUUGGAUUGUCCCUUAUGUAGAUUUAUUUAUAUGAAGCUUUAAGGGGGCGUUUGGAUUGACGAAUUUGUAGAUUCAACGUAAGUCAAGUGUAGUGGUGUUUGAGUUUUCCUGAAGUGUGAUUAUUUUUCUGUUGUUUGUUUUGACGUAACUCGUACCACUGAAAGUUAAAUUCAAUCACUUCUGCUGUUUGUUUUGAUGUAACUUGGUGCUGGUAAAAUUAGUUUUUUGAGUUCCGUUGUUUGUUUUGAUGUAAGGUAUGGAUCCCAUUAUCUCCUAAAUAUAGUAAUAAAUUUAUCACUAUAAAAUUUAACCUAUUAUAUAAUUAAAUUUUUUAUUAUUAUUUAAAGAUAAUCUUAAUUUAUUAUAAAUAAGGUAAUUCUAACCCAUUAUAAAGAAAGUAGAGUUUAGAUUUUACUGUUUAAUAAAUUGUUUAGAGAAGGUUGAGUGUGGUGGAAGUCGAGUUCGGUACUUUAGAGCCGGAAGUCGAGAGUAGGUGAAGUGGAGCUCUAACGUAACUUGAGUUACAUUAUAUUUUUCACUUACACCAAAACAAAUAACGAAAGUGAUGGAACUUGAGUUCCAUCACUCCACUUACACCAAAACAAACGGGCCCUGCUUUAAGUAGCUUCGAUAUGAAGCCUUUUUGUGUUCUGUAUGCAUAGCAUGCUGAUUAAAGCUUUCAUAUGAUAUGUUUGUCGUAACUUUUUGCUUACAAAAUUUCUCCCAUAACAUGCUCUAUUAAUUAUUGGCGAAUUUGCAAUGGAUGCCUUUUUUUAUUUUCACUUCUCGAACACCGUGGAGUAAUAUACUUAAUUUCUUUAGUUAUCUUAUUAAAUUUUAUGUAAUAUACUACUUGGCAGUAUUUCUUACUUUCUCCUACAACGACUGUUUGCCAAUAGAAUUAAUUUGUAGAUAGUAUGAAUCAUUUAGGUAAGUAAAAAUCUUUGUUGCAUUAUUUAUGGCAUGUCUGUGUCCUACAACUUGCUGGUAAUUUAUUAUUUUUUAAUUCUACUUUUCUCUUUCUGCCAUUUACUUCUGAUGUUUUCUUAUAAUAGAUUUUAUAUUAUCACCAUAUAACUAUACAUACAUAGAAAAUGAUAUUAGUUGAAUGGAUAUUAUUAGGAUUUUGUUACUAUGGUUGGAACUUCUGUUUUAGCUAAAGGAAUGCAAAACUGAUUCCUACACCCGCUCGCACACCCGGCCCCACUUAUGAACCUCGGACGCAUCUGCCCAUACCCUGCCCGUGCCCCCUGCUCGCAUGCUACAUCCACGCCCAGCACCUGCCCGCACCCGUCCCUCUGCCUCACUACCACCUAUCUCAAAAAUGUGGGCCCCACCGAAGCUCUCGGUUAAGGAGAGGCCUGCCGUAUCGUUUUUGUUCCCCCAAUUUAUAGUUAUAGAUAAAUGAGUUCAUAUUUAGUUUUUAAUUAUUGUAAAAAUAAUUUGUUUUAUAUUAACUUUUAUUCAUAAUAUUUAUGCUGGAUUUUUAUUCUACUAUAUUGUAUGCAAAUUUAUUUUAAAAUUUUUAUGCAUCAUAUUAUCUUUAUUUUAUAUCCAUUUUUAGUAUAUUUUUAUUUCGUAUAUUGUAUGUUUUCAUAUGUUUUGAAAAUUAUACGUAUCUAAAAAAAUUGUGAAAAACUACCGUCAUUUCCUGCAUACAAANCAGAUUUAAUUACCUACGAAGGCUAAAAAAAAAAAUUGAAAACCUGGUCCAACUUCAAUUCAGAGGAAAAAUCCAAAGGGGAAAAAUAAGCAGCUACCAUCAAUUAGAGCCCUAAUAUAUAUACCAACCCGGAGCAGAUUUGCAAAAAAGUCUGAUUUUCCACGGCAAAUGGCUAUGUAAUAUAAAUCACAUCAAACAGUUUUUUGUAUGCAGGAAAUGACGGUAGUUUUUCACAAUUUUUUUAGAUACGUAUAAUUUUCAAAACAUAUGAAAACAUACAAUAUACGAAAUAAAAAUAUACUAAAAAUGGAUAUAAAAUAAAGAUAAUAUUUAUGCUGGAUUUUUAUUCUACUAUAUUGUAUGCAAAUUUAUUUUAAAAUUUUUAUGCAUCAUAUUAUCUUUAUUUUAUAUCCAUUUUUAGUAUAUUUUUAUUUCGUAUAUUGUAUGUUUUCAUAUGUUUUGAAAAUUAUACGUAUCUAAAAAAAUUGUGAAAAACUACCGUCAUUUCCUGCAUACAAAAAACUGUUUGAUGUGAUUUAUAUUACAUAGCCAUUUGCCGUGGAAAAUCAGACUUUUUUGCAAAUCUGCUCCGGGUUGGUAUAUAUAUUAGGGCUCUAAUUGAUGGUAGCUGCUUAUUUUUCCCCUUUGGAUUUUUCCUCUGAAUUGAAGUUGGACCAGGUUUUCAAUUUUUUUUUUUAGCCUUCGUAGGUAAUUAAAUCUGUGGGUUUUUUUUUUUUUUUUUUGGUUGUAAAGUGUAAACUUAUACUAAUCAGUGCUUUUUUAUGUCUUCGAAUUUUCUUGAAGUUUUACUAAAUUAAGCUUGAUGUCGAAUAUAGAACGCCGGCUUUUUUGAAGAUCAGGCUUUUUGGGUUUGGGUGUGUUCUACUACUUGCGCAAAGUACGGCAAUGAUUUAUACCGCAUAGCCAUUUGGCAUGUAAAUGUAGACUUUUUUGCAAAUCUGCUCCGGGUUUACAAUUGCUAUAAAUACUUCUACGUACCUCUUAUUCUUAUUUUUUGUGACUUUGCUCUAAUACAGUUGAUGCUGUUAUUAAAUUACCAGGAGCGUGUAAAACUCCUGAAGAUAUUGAUGAGUUCUCAAAAAAUUUUAUAUUACAUAUGAUUAUGCAUUUUUACUUCAUAUCUUUGGAUAGGAUUCAGAAUUAUUAUUAUUUUAUUAUUACUAUAAUUAUUAUUAUCUUUAUCUUUAUAAACAGAAUCCUAAAGAAAGUCUCUCUUUAUUUUAGGGGUUGUGGGGCCCAUAUGUGAACUUUACUAUUUUUUAUUUUGAUCCUUAAGCUUUUUUUUGCAAUCAAAUUUUUAAUAUCUUUAUAUUUUUAAACGUGAAUGGUGAACCUUAAAGGUGUCCCUUUAUUUUAAGGGUUGUGUUCCAAUCUUUUUAUUAUUUUUUAUUUUAUUUCUUAAUUUUUUUUACAAUAAAAUUUUAAAAUUAUAAUAAUUUACCGUGAUAAUAUCUUUCCGCCGCAUCGCGCGGGUCCCAUAACUAGUUUAUAAAUAUACUACACUUUCCAACCUUCUACACCCUUUUGCAUUCUUAUCGUUGACCCAAGAGCUAAUAUCUUGAACUCACCAAUUCUCUUGGUUUAUGUGACCAAUUCUCUUGGUUUAUGUGAGUAGCAUGCAUGCACCUUACGAGAACAUGUGAACUUAAUAGUAUUUUCACCACUUUUUGGACUUAGCUUAUAUGUGUGAGAAUCCCUUUAUUUUUAAUUAAGAGAAAGUUAUUUCUUGUUCUCCAUUGUUCUUGUUCUUCUUCUCUAGUUUGGUAUGAUCUUGGGCUAGUGGUAUUCUUGAUCCACUAUUUGAAGUAGUGGGUUUCCAAUCGACGGAUCUCGCUAUUUCGUUACAGAGAGAUUGUUCCCAAAGCAUCAUCAACUGUUUUGUCUUGUAGAUUGCUAGUCGAGGGGCCGACUGGGCCUUUCGGAAGAUCAUACCAUUCCUGAUCUCCCAAGUGACCCACCAAGAGGCUACUAAUCCGAUUAACCAAAUACUCAUUAACCGUGCUCCAUACCCACCCAUCCAUCUAUCGCAUACCUAGUGCACAUCGUUUCCCACUUCUCUAGGCUGUACCGUUGCCUAGGUCAUCACCAAUAGAAAUCUAGAAAAAACACAUCAUGUGAAUAAAUGAUCUAAAGUUUCCACUUCAGAUCCAUACAACACAUAGUUUGUGCUGCCAGUCUAACCUCUCUUAAUAAAGUUAUUACCUGUAAGGAGCCUCUUCUUAAAGACGAGCCAGCAAAACACUUUCACUUUUAGUGGAGUUCGAAGUCUCCAAAUCUUGCUCACUCGGACGUCCCUUGUGCCCCCGUCGCUCAGCGCUGAGUAGGCGGAUUUCACUGUGAACCGCAUGUCAGGGUUCCAUCUUCAAUGCACACUAUUUGGUCUCUACUCAAUUUUGAAGUCGGAUAUCUUUAUUGAUUAAAUAUUAUUAAUGUAUUUUAAUGCUUGAUUAUAGUGUUUGAUUAGUUGUCCAUGACCAAUCCUAAGUCGAACAGAAGAGAAGAAAUUUUUUUUUCCAUAAUGUAAGACUAUAUAUUUGGUUCUAUAUAUAUAGCGAUAACUUAUAAUUGGUUUAUCUUUUCAAAGUUUAACUUCUAUAAAAUUUUUAGAGUAUCGAAUUAAAGUUUGAAAAGUUAAACCACUAAUUUAUUAUAAAAUACGUAUAAAGUUGAUUUUAUCAACAAGAUUUUCAAGUGCAUCUUGAUAUAUACAGAUACGAUUACUUCUACUCUGUAUGGAUGAAGUGAAAAAGAGAGAAAAAACUCUGUAUCGAUGCAGUGAAAAAGAGAGAAAAAAAAAGACAGUUAGGAAAGAAAAAUAAUUUUCUCACGUUUGGAUCAAAAUUUGAGGAGAAAAAAAAGAAGAGAAAUGAAGAAAAAUUGAGAGAAAAUGAUCUUUCAUAAUUGUCGCCCUUUUUUCCGUUUUUCAGAAGUAAAGAGAAAUGGAGUAGAAGGAAGAUAAAGUUAUUCUCCCUUCUUCCCUCCUUAGUCGAAACAACACAAGAGAAAGUUACUUCUUUUUUUUUUUCCAUGUCCUAUUCUCUUCAUGGAAAUGAAGCAUUAUUAUAAAACAAUUCCACACAUACCUUGUUUUUUUUUUAGGAAAGAGAGAGAGAGAAAGGUAGCAUGCUACCGACUUCGUUUAUUUUUUAAAAAAAUAAACUUAGUUAAAAAUAUAAAUCAACUAGGAUUUGAAUUUGAAACCUCGGAUAUCAACUGUCAAGUUUUUUACCACUUGCAAUAGGAACGGUCGGUGCACAUAUCUUGUUGAUAGGAGAAGAAAUAGACAUGAACCUUCAAAAAACUAAACCAAUCCCUUAUUAACUACAAAACCUACUUGAUCAUGAUGCAGUUUGAGACAUACAUAUGUAUCAUUACUAUUUCAGCAAGUAUAUCCACCAAAAGGAAAAAAAAAGAGAGAGUACAGUAUCUAUAAUAGGCACAAAAAUGAUCAUUAACCAACUAGAACAUGUACACAUUUCAUUUCUUUUUACUACUCCCUCAUUCAUUUAUUCAUUCAAUACUUUAGAAACUCUACGUCACUCGAACUUAGAAUUAUAUUGAACUUAGGAGCAUUUCGCCAUGCUACAAUAUUCAGCCGGUAGAGAACGGUAUACAACGGCGCUACCUUCAAAGCUUGUCACACUGAGCGGGAGCAAAAGACAACUUCUCGUUCUCCAAGUCGUAGAGCACCUUCAUGUUUUGCUGCUGUAUAUUUCCGAUGACGGAGCUAUCGCCGUUGUUGGCUAUGUUGACGCACAGCACGCGGUCGCCGUUCUGAAACAUGUAGUUCUCCUUCGGCAGGUCCAUGUUGGCGCCCAGAAAAUGGAAUACGAGCUGCGGCACCUUCACCGACGCCGUGUCGUUCGUCGGCGUCUUGAAGCAUAGCCCGAACGACCCCGUCUUGUCCUCGACCACCGGGAGCUUCACGUAGGACUUGAACGCCUUCGCCGCCUUCUUGUACGCGACGUUGACGAGCCCCGUGACUUGCGUCCCCGAGUCGACGAUCACCCCGCCGGUGCCGUCCUUCCUCAGCUCGAACGCCGACUUCGGUAUCUUGAGCCGGUUCUUGCCGACCGUAAUUCCGAGCAGCGACACGUAGUAGAAGGUCAGCACGCUCGGGUUCUGGAGCAGCGGGGUGGUGAGUAUCGGGCCGCCUCCUAAGUUGUCGGCGAGCGGGCCGAAGAAGAGGGUGCUUUGCUUGGACUGGAGUAGGGGGGUGAAGCAGUAGGCGAAUUUUCGGAUGCCGAGCUGGGAGAUGAGCGAGAGAGGGUUGCGGCCGAAGCCGACGAUCCCCGACCCGCCGUUCAGGUCGCCCCAGUUGUCGUGCCCGCAGCCAAAGCCGAGGCCGGGGACCCGGACCUUCGCGACCGAGCCGAAGGUGAAGGUCUCGGUGGCGAGGGCGCCGAUCGACGACGUGAGGUCGCCAUAUCUGUAGAUGUAGACGCAGUGCUGCUGGUCCGCGCUCAAGAUGCUAUUGUCGAUCUCCAGGGCCUGACACAGCUUGCUGGCGUAGGGCAGGUCCGAGUAAGUGGAGGACUUCGAGGGGUCGAAGAGAUGCGCCGGAACCUGGUAAGCCGUUCGUACUAUUUGAAUGCAUGAAUAUUUUAUUCUAAAUAUUCUUUAAUUAUACAUCCAAAACAGAUAAGAUAUUCGGCUUAUCAAAUUAUUAUUAUCAGGUAACUUUUUCUAGUUGUUUAAGUUUUUUUUUUACUCAAUUAAUAUAUAUAUAUAUUAUAUAGUUGUGUGGCCUGCGAUCGUAACAUGUGAUAAAUUGAUUAUAGGAGUUCUUGAAAACUCAAAAGCUCUAACAAGUGAUAUCAAAACAAAUGUUAAAUUUUUAGCGAAUUAAUUCGGAUCGUUUUCUGAACACAACCUUGAGGCACUUGAUGCAGGGUUUGCAUUGGGUCCAGAUGAGGUCGCUGCCGGUGUCUAGUAUCACCGUAAAGGGCAGCGGCGGCGUGCCGAUGGCUAAGUCCAUGAGGUACUCGCCCUCACCGGGGCUUACCAGAAUGUGGGAUUUCGUGAGUGUGGUAGGGUCGACGCCGCCGCUGGCGGCGGCUUGCACUCCCAAGAGCCACAUCGCACGAGCCUGGCUCCGGCGGGCUGCGCGGCAGAGGAGCUCCGGCUUGGUGAAGUUGCGCCCGGCGUCGACGUGGGUUAGCUCAAUGCGCAAGUCCAGAAAAGCUGCAGAUGUGGUGACAAAAAUCAGGAAGCUUAUUAG
Molecule: long non-coding RNA, 24215 nt
Filed under: Ananas comosus (pineapple)
Lineage: Eukaryota; Viridiplantae; Streptophyta; Magnoliopsida; Poales; Bromeliaceae
Description: long non-coding RNA (ACOM_LNC029840)
Source: RNAcentral